CCUACGGGAGGCAGCAGUGAGGAAUAUUGGUCAAUGGUCGGGAGACUGAACCAGCCAAGCCGCGUGAGGGAUGAAGGUACAGAGUAUCGUAAACCUCUUUUGUCAGGGAACAAAGGCGGGGACGCGUCCCCGGAUGAGUGUACCUGACGAAAAAGCAUCGGCUAACUCCGUGCCAGCAGCAGCGGUAAUACGGAGGAUGCGAGCGUUAUCCGGAUUUAUUGGGUUAAAAGGGUGCGCAGUCGGUCUGUUAAGUCAGAGGUAAAAGCCCGGGGUUAAACCCCGACCCGCCGUUGAAACUGGCAGUCUCGAGUUGGAGAGAGGUAUGCGGAAUGCGUGGUGUAGCGGUGAAAUGCAUAGAUAUCGCGCAGAACUCCGAUUGCGAAGGCAGCAUGCCGGCUCCACACUGACGCUGAGGCACGAAAGCGUGGGUAUCGAACAGGAUUAGAUACCCGGGUAGUC
Molecule: ribosomal RNA, 459 nt
Filed under: uncultured bacterium
Lineage: Bacteria
Description: partial 16S ribosomal RNA
Rfam family: Bacterial small subunit ribosomal RNA
Source: RNAcentral